GGCGAUAACUCAACAGAGAUGGUAACAACCCUGAUCGAUGAUGUGGGUACAACAGAGACCAUCUUAUCCGGCAGUUCGUCGACCACAGACACAGAUAUGGCAUCGACAAGAUCUGAUCCGUCUUCAACAACUUGCAACAAAGGGAGCCAACUAUCAAGUGCUUCGAAGACAACCGUGCUUGCAUUGGUUUUGACCAUGUCCCUUAUGUAACAAAUUAAUUUUUUGUUGUCUUUUCAAUUACCCUUUCUGUCAAAGAUGCAAGUGCAAGAUGAUCAAUAAGUAUUGAGGAAACGUAUAAUCACUAAGGUUUGUUUGUGUAUUUGAUCGUGAUAAAUAAUAAUACAUUAAAACAACUUGUCUUAACAAUAAACUACGAAACCAAUGUUGCUGCAUAACCCUAUUUAGCAUAUUAGUUGUGUUAUAUUUUUGUGUGUCUUUUAUUGCUUUUAAAUUUGAAAAACGAUGCUUUGUGGUUUAUGCUUGUUUACAUAUGAGUGUUUUGUGAUACAAUCUGGGCUAUGUAUGGGAUUUUGGUUGGCAAUCAACCGGUCAAAGGGACAUUUUCACAGAUUUGGCAUGUAUUGAAGUUUGUCAUUGAAUGCUUUAUAUUGAUAAAUAUAAACAUUGGAUCUAAAAGCUCCAGUAAAAACAAGAGUAACAUUAAAGAAAGAAAUAAGUUACCUCUGACCGGGCUCGAACCACUGACCCCUGGAGUAAAAGUCUAACUCUUAGUCCACUCAGCCAUCAGUGAUCAUGCAAUGAAUGAUGUAAAGUUUAUAUAAGCAAUCCUCGUAGUGUCACAAAAUAUAACGACACCAACAGAGCUCUCCAAAUUAUUCAAUCGUUUCGCGUUGCAACACUUUAUAAUUUUCAGGGUUUUAAAUCGUCAAAAGAUGCAUACAUGCAUUAUGGAUAUUGUAGAGCAUGGUAUAUGUUAAUAAUUACUGUUUCCUCACAAAUACCAUAACUUCAACAAAGAUUUACGGAUCUGAAACAUUUUAUUUUUAAUUUUGCCAAUUUACAAAAACGCCAAAAGGCCCCUUUAAACCCCGCACUUUUUUGCAUUGGCUAUUCCAAGGUUGACACCAGUUUGCAUCAUGAUUUUGUGUUUAUAGCCACACACCUUGAAAUGAAAUACAUGUUAAUCAAUACAUAUAAAUGCAAUUUAAAAGU
Dreissena polymorpha is the source of this 1173-nucleotide long non-coding RNA. RefSeq lists it as uncharacterized. The transcript is spliced from 4 exons. The record is from RefSeq and is a predicted model, not a curated record. NCBI's taxonomy places the organism in Eukaryota, Metazoa, Mollusca, Bivalvia, Myida, Dreissenidae.